AGGACGAACGCUGGCGGCGUGCUUAACACAUGCAAGUCGAGCGAUGAAGUCCCUUCGGGGACGGAUUAGCGGCGGACGGGUGAGUAACACGUGGGUAACCUGCCUCAUAGAGGGGAAUAGCCUUCCGAAAGGAAGAUUAAUACCGCAUAAGAUUGUAGUUUCGCAUGAAACAGCAAUUAAAGGAGUAAUCCGCUAUGAGAUGGACCCGCGUCGCAUUAGCUAGUUGGUGAGGUAACGGCUCACCAAGGCGACGAUGCGUAGCCGACCUGAGAGGGUGAUCGGCCACAUUGGGACUGAGACACGGCCCAGACUCCUACGGGAGGCAGCAGUGGGGAAUAUUGCACAAUGGGGGAAACCCUGAUGCAGCAACGCCCGCGUGAGUGAUGACGGUCUUCGGAUUGUAAAGCUCUGUCUUCAGGGACGAUAAUGACGGUACCUGAGGAGGAAGCCACGGCUAACUACGUGCCAGCAGCUGC
RNAcentral lists this ribosomal RNA (476 nucleotides) under uncultured bacterium. RNAcentral describes it as "bacterial SSU rRNA". It matches the Rfam family "Bacterial small subunit ribosomal RNA", at positions 26 to 518 of the family's 1533-position model. The record is from RNAcentral.